CUUAAAUUAAGAAUUAUAAUUUUUCCUUCUUGUACUUCGUUUGACAGAAACGUGACUCUAGUAUUGUUAGAUUUGUCAGAGGUCACGCGUUUGAUAAGAUAUUCUAAACUUUUGUUAUUUUUGUACUUAACCGGUUUUGUUUGGUUCCAUAGCGACGGCAAUUAUGAGAAGUAGUUUUUGUACAUAAUUUGAAACAAGAAAAUUAUAUGUUUUUCGCAGGUAGCGAGAGCGUUGGACAGAAACGCGAAAUGCUAAUUUGGAGUUGAAUUAAUGUGCUUAUAUACCAAAAAUACAUUUCGCGCCAAAUAAGUUAGCCAUUAGACAUUCAACAAUAUAAUCAACUGCCCAAGAAUAAGUAAUUUCAGAAUAUAAUAAAGUAAUUUGACUUCAGCAGUAAAACUGAACUGUUAUUGAAAGGAAAUAUUUUCGUCAUCUUUCAAGCACUUUUCCUACACACAAAGGUCAAAUUAUGCGCAAUUUCAUAUACUAGGACUUGCAUUGAAAAGUUCUUGCAACCUUUUCUUUAAGAACCAAUGAGCAUAAAAUCAUGACAACGAAGACUAUUAAACGCUCGUAAAAUCUAGCAUUUUACGGACAUGACACAAUAAGUUGGUGACAUGGAGAAGGAAAUAACGAGUGAAGAUGUCAUAACGGAAAAUCUCCUAAGAAAACAGCGUCGCCAAAAUGCGGGUGGUCGGGAAACGAGGAAUUUUAUUUAUUUAUUUCUCUACAUACAUUUACCAUUACCGGUUACCCCAAUGCGAUAAAUGCGCCUUAAAUGUUACUGGCUAAAUCCUUAUGCACCUUCUUUAGAUCCCACCUAUUUUUGUGAUAGCACCCAAAAUUGCUAUUCCUACCUCAUCUACCACGAUAUCGUUUGUGGUUUGGCUACUUUGGAUGCAAGAAACCUAGAGC
Long non-coding RNA from Helicoverpa armigera (cotton bollworm), 915 nucleotides. RefSeq lists it as uncharacterized. Lineage: Eukaryota; Metazoa; Arthropoda; Insecta; Lepidoptera; Noctuidae. The record is from RefSeq and is a predicted model, not a curated record. The transcript has 2 exons.